AGCGAACGCUGGCGGCAGGCCUAACACAUGCAAGUCGAACGAACCUUUCGGGGUUAGUGGCGGACGGGUGAGUAACACGUGGGAACGUGCCUUUAGGUUCGGAAUAACUCAGGGAAACUUGUGCUAAUACCGAAUGUGCCCUUCGGGGGAAAGAUUUAUCGCCUUUAGAGCGGCCCGCGUCUGAUUAGCUAGUUGGUUGAGGUAAUGGCUCACCAAGGCGACGAUCAGUAGCUGGUCUGAGAGGAUGAUCAGCCACAUUGGGACUGAGACACGGCCCAAACUCCUACGGGAGGCAGCAGUGGGGAAUCUUGCGCAAUGGGCGAAAGCCUGACGCAGCCAUGCCGCGUGAAUGAUGAAGGUCUGAGGAUUGUAAAAUUCUUUCACCGGGGACGAUAAUGACGGUACCCGGAGAAGAAGCCCCGGCUAACUUCGUG
RNAcentral lists this ribosomal RNA (434 nucleotides) under uncultured bacterium. RNAcentral's name for it is "partial 16S ribosomal RNA". It matches the Rfam family "Bacterial small subunit ribosomal RNA", at positions 29 to 507 of the family's 1533-position model. The record is from RNAcentral.